Molecule: long non-coding RNA, 3967 nt
Organism: Terrapene triunguis (Three-toed box turtle)
Lineage: Eukaryota; Metazoa; Chordata; Testudines; Emydidae
Exons: 3
Source: RefSeq, a predicted model, not a curated record
AAUUGUAGCUGUGCAAACCAGUGUAGAGAGUGUGUGUGUUUGUGUAUAUAAUGUGAAUUAAUAGGAAUUUAGUAUGCACAUGGUUUUCAUCAACAGUAUCUAGUUCUCACUGUACUUGCAAACUGACUUUGUCGCUGUUAGGGAAGUCUAGACAAUGAAUCAUAUAUUGUAAUCUUGUCUACGAAAACAAUCAUAAACAUACCAUUUAUUUUUCUCUUAAAUUCAGGGCAAGCAUUCAAAAAAGAGUCACUGUUAUCCACCCAUGAACAGAGAUCACCGCAGAAUCAUCCAUGAGUUAGCUCAAAUUUAUGGCAUUGAGAGUGUGAGCUAUGACAAUGAACCAAAGCGUAAUGUUGUUAUCACUGCAGUGAAAGGUAAAUCCAUUUGUCCAAGUAAUACCCUAACAUCUGUGCUAGAGAGGGAAAUGCAGACAAGGCCUCCACCACCUAUUCCUCACUACAGACAAACAGAUAAGAAUAAUGGAAACAGUGGCUUGCAGAAAACAUUAAAAGUGGAGCCAGUGAUUGACUACUUUGAUGUCCAAGACUGAAAUGAUCAAUCUUAAAUUAUUAUUUAGAAAAAUGGAGGUGAAGAUACAUAUCUAUCAUGCAAGAUGCUUUGUGGCUAAUUAAAUGAUUAACUAUUCAAUAUAUUCAAAGUUUAAAAUAGUAAAAAAGCACUGGUGAGUUAAGUGUAUGAGAAACAUAGCAUUGUCUAGAAAUUAACUAAAAUUUGAGCUCUGAAUAUUGCAAGAUAAGCUAUUAAAGGCCAAAUUCUGACUUCAGAUUGAUGUGCACAGCUCUCAUUGAAUGCACUGAGAACUGCAUGCGUUCCUCAAAAGCCAGAAUAUGGCUUAUCAUUUAUUAUAUCAAUGAAACUGAUCUUUUAAAUUUGACUGCAAAUUUUCAGCUGCUCUGCAUAUUUUUACAUAAGUUGCAAGUGCAGGUAUUUUUCACCUCAGGCUGGUACAUUUUUCUUCUCUGUUUGUUUGGAAUCAGAGUCCAUCUUUACUGAAGUGAAACUGCCUAUCCAUUAAUUUAUAGCUGAAAAAACUGGUAAUUAAAUUCUAUUGGGGUAGUUAUAUUAGUGGCAAACAUUCCAAAGAUUUAUACUGAGGGAUCCAACUGUACUGUUAAAAAUGAACAAAUCACAAAUCGCUAUAAUAUAAUCCUAAUGGAUAUAUUUUCAAGGAGUUUUCAUGUGAUUUUAAUCAUUCCAUUUCUACUGCAAACAUAUCUGAGUUAUUCCCACAUGGAAUAAAACAAAAAAUUUAGCUCAACUCUACAAUAUGUUACAUAUUCCCAGUGCUUAGGCACACUGACACCCGCUAAUGAGGAGUACAUCUCAUGUUCACUAGCAUUUGAGGAUUUUGGUACUUUCCUUGUUCUUGAGGUGGAAGAGGGAAAAUGCCAUUUGUUUGUUUGUGGGUUUUUAUUAAGCAAAAGAAUAAUGGCUUAGUUUUCUUUGUGUUUUAUUUAGUUUGUAUAUUGAAACCUUUAAUUUAAAUUAAAGGAUUAAAUUGAAAAUGAAAAAUAUUUAAUUCAAACGCUUGAACAGUUAGAACUCCACGUAUGGCUUUGAUGUUCCAUAGAGAUUGAAUCAUAUGUCUAGGAUUGUUAAACUGAUGACUUCACUAGUUUAAACUUUUCCUCUGUACAAGCUUAGAGCAGAAGGUAUGUGCUAGGCUUGUGUUGGAAUAUGGGUUGAGAUUGCAGCAAUUCUUGAAAACUUCAUAAGAAAGUCUGGUAUGUUAAAUCCCUCUCAAUGAAAACAGCCCUUUAAUGAUCACAUUACAUUUUAAAUAUAUUAUACUUUACACAAUUCAGUAGCCAACACAAUCUCCUAGAUUUCAAAUUGUUUCACAUUAAUGGGUGCCCUCAUGAGGAAGGAGAGACCAGAUCUUUAGCUGGUGUAAAUUGUCAUAGCUCCAUUGACUUCACUUGAGCUACAACAAUUUACCCAAGUUGAGGAUCUGGCCCCUUAUGCUAAUAAGCUCCUUACUCCUCACACUAUGCUCUGUCUGUCUCACCCCUCCUGACUGCACACAGCCCUAGAAGUUAUUCCUUUGUGCAGCUCUUUGUGCUCAGGGGCAGCUUCUGUCUGCAUGUCCCAGAGAGCUUAUGGAACUUUUGAGGGCCAUUAGCCACAGAGGUUCAUUUUGGGGUGGAUAUGUAUCAUAACAUGUUGACUUAAGAUAACUGUAAUAUUCUACAUUGUCAAGAUGUUAUGGGUUUUAUGGCUUUCUGUGGAUGCAUGUGUAUAAAACUUACUUUGUUUAGGAAAUGACAAUGCAAUGUAAUAUGUUUCUAUUUAAAUGUUUGAGAUACAUUUUCUCCACUUAAAAGAACACGGUCGAGGAAUGUUGAUCUUUUUUGUGUGUGUAUGUCUUCAUACAAUGAAAAUAAUUUUCUUUACCUUUUUCCUUUCAUUUGGUGAACAGAAAUGAACUUUUUUUUACGAAUGAAUCUCAAAUAAACUAGCUGUUAUGGUUUGGCAUGACAGUGCACAAAAUUCUUAAGCAAGUUGAGCCCUUGCAAGGUGCUUAACGUUUUCAAUUUCUGUUGACAUCAGUGGGUGAAUAGGUUGCUAAGCACCUUUCUAGAACUGUGAUCUUGCAGACAUUUACACAAUUAAGUAGGCCUAAUGGGAGAGAGAGUCUCAUUUAUUUCAGUGUCACUGCAUGACUGAAUGAGGGUUUGCAGGAUGGGCCCAUAGUUUGUGACCCUACAUUUAAUUUAUUUUAACACAGGACUUCAUUUAAAAUAGCUAAAAACAUCACCUACAUACUUGUGUGCAAUUUGUAUGAGGCUUUCAUAGCAGUAUGUCUAGUUCAUGCACUUUAAUUGGUAUUUUUAACAAAUUGUGAUCUUGCAACUUAAAUGUGAGGCUGAUGAGAAGCAGUCUAGAAGAUGUUCAGGUUCUGAAUAGAACUUUUAAUACUUCCAGCUUUUGAUCAGAAGAACCAGAGAAUUUUCAGUUUGCAAAAUAAGGCUAAUAAAUAUUUUGAAUUCAUAUCUACUGAUUAAUCAUAAUGACCCUUAUGAAAUGUCUAAUAAAAGUUUUGCUCAGUUGUGAAUAUUCACAUAUCUCUACGCCUAUUUUAAUACCAAGGAGGUCAAAGCCUAUACAACAGCUUUUAAAAAAUCAUUGACACUGAAAUGUUUACUCAAAAUUUCUUAUUGUAAUAGUUCCGUUAAAAAGAUAAUUCAUGCACUUCCCUGGGGAAGCAAUACCAAAACACGUUUUUUCCAAAGUAUAAUUUUCCAGCUUUAAAAAUGAAUUCAGCAAGAUUUAAUUGUGGUGUUCUCCCUUCUCUUCUGGUUUGCUUUGGAUCAUUUUACUGCAUAUGUGUGCCUAAUGGGAAUGCUUUUCUAAUAUACCAUUUUGUAUUUCUUCUUAUUCUGAGUUGGCUCUUAGUCUAUUUAUCUAAGAGAAAAAAGAGUGAAGUCAGUGGCAUUGACUUCAGUGGAGCCAGUAUUCCAUCCUUGGUCUGUCAAUUACAUUGCACAGGUCUCAGAACGAUACUGUAUUUUGUAAAUUGUUCUGUAUUGAGUACAUUACAAUAAAGAGAUUGUCUUUGAAGUGAACUGUGAGGAAGAGCAAAUUGGGUACAAUACAUAUAACUUUACCAAGUGCUUUUAAACUAUUGUAUAUAAAAUACAGGUAGAAUUUUGGCAUUGGGACUAUGUAACUGUUCAAUGGUUUAAUGCGUUAAGAAGUGCUCUGAUUAUUCAGUGCUUGAUGUGCAUAAUCUAAAAUCCUAGCUGUGCAAGUUAGCUAUGGAGACCACUGUUUUGUGGCAGUUUUACAGUAUGUGCCUCAUGAUGAAGUAAGCAAACGAACAUUGCUCUAAAACACUCUUUCCAUAAGUUAUUUGGUGACAGAUAUAUAUAUCUAUAUAGAUAUAUAGAUAUAUAUUCCACUUGAUUCCUUUCAAGUUUAGUGGUGUAACAGGUGACUUACUGUA